RNAcentral lists this ribosomal RNA (408 nucleotides) under uncultured bacterium. RNAcentral describes it as "partial 16S ribosomal RNA". It matches the Rfam family "Bacterial small subunit ribosomal RNA", at positions 28 to 526 of the family's 1533-position model. The record is from RNAcentral.
GACGAACGCUGGCGGCGUGCCUAAUACAUGCAAGUCGAGCGAAGCGGCGGAGGGGUGAGUAACGCGUGGGUAACCUGAACUUAAGUCUGGGAUACCAUUUGGAAACAGAUGCUAAUACCGGAUACUAAAGAAUGGACCUGCGAUGCAUUAGCUAGUUGGUAAGGUAACGGCUUACCAAGGCGAUGAUGCAUAGCCGGGUUGAGGUACUGAUCGGCACCAUUGUGACUGAGACACUGCCCAAACUCCUACGGGAGGAAGCAGGAGGGAAUCUUCCGCUAUGGACGAAAGGCUGAUGGAGCAAUGCCGCGUGGGUGAGGAAGGUUUUAGGAUCGUAAAGCUCUGUUGUUUGUGAAGCGGUAAUCAACCAGAAAGUCACGGCUAACUACGUGCCAGCAGCCGCGGUAAUAC